AAUGGACGAAAGUCUGAACCAGCCAUGCCGCGUGCAGGAGGACUGCCUAUGGGUUGUAAACUGCUUUUAUUUGGGAAGAACCUCUCUACGUGUAGAGGGCUGACGGUACCAAACGAAUAAGGACCGGCUAACUCCGUGCCAGCAGCCGCGGUAAUACGGAGGGUCCAAGCGUUAUCCGGAUUUAUUGGGUUUAAAGGGUUCGUAGGCGGGAUAUUAAGUCAGUGGUGAAAACCUGCAGCUCAACUGCAGACCUGCCAUUGAUACUGGUAUUCUUGAAUCUAGUUGAGGUAGGCGGAAUGUGUCAUGUAGCGGUGAAAUGCAUAGAUAUGACACAGAACACCGAUUGCGAAGGCAGCUUACUAAACUAGUAUUGACGCUAGUGAACGAAAGCGUGGGGAGCGAACAGGAUU
Molecule: ribosomal RNA, 410 nt
Filed under: uncultured Flavobacteriia bacterium
Lineage: Bacteria; Pseudomonadati; Bacteroidota; Flavobacteriia
Description: bacterial SSU rRNA
Rfam family: Bacterial small subunit ribosomal RNA
Source: RNAcentral